RNAcentral lists this ribosomal RNA (458 nucleotides) under uncultured bacterium. RNAcentral describes it as "partial 16S ribosomal RNA". It matches the Rfam family "Bacterial small subunit ribosomal RNA", at positions 338 to 795 of the family's 1533-position model. The record is from RNAcentral.
CCUACGGGAGGCAGCAGUGGGGAAUAUUGCACAAUGGGGGAAACCCUGAUGCAGCGACGCCGCGUGAGUGAAGAAGUAUUUCGGUAUGUAAAGCUCUAUCAGCAGGGAAGAAAUAGCGACCUUUGGGUCGUCAGACGGUACCUGCCUAAGAAGCCCCGGCUAACUACGUGCCAGCAGCCGCGGUAAUACGUAGGGGGCAAGCGUUAUCCGGAUUUACUGGGUGUAAAGGGGGCGUAGAGGGCAGCACAAGGCUGAAGUGAAAUGCCGGGGCUUAACCCCGGUACUGCUUUGGAAACUGUGCAGCUAGAGUGCGGGAGAGGUAAGUGGAAUGCCUAGUGUAGCGGUGAAAUGCGUAGAUAUUAGGAGGAACACCAGUGGCGAAGGCGGCUUACUGGACUGCAACUGACGUUGAGGCUCGAAAGCGUGGGGAGCAAACAGGAUUAGAUACACCUGUAGUC